Molecule: transfer RNA, 62 nt
Filed under: Chrysochares punctatus
Lineage: Eukaryota; Metazoa; Arthropoda; Insecta; Coleoptera; Chrysomelidae
Description: tRNA-Glu
Rfam family: tRNA
About the family: Transfer RNA (tRNA) molecules are approximately 80 nucleotides in length. Their secondary structure includes four short double-helical elements and three loops (D, anti-codon, and T loops).
Source: RNAcentral
GUUUAUAUAGUUUAAUAAAACAUUACAUUUUCAUUGUAAAAUUAGAAGUUUUCUUAUAAAUA